RNAcentral lists this ribosomal RNA (253 nucleotides) under uncultured bacterium. Its description in RNAcentral is "partial 16S ribosomal RNA". It matches the Rfam family "Bacterial small subunit ribosomal RNA", at positions 524 to 776 of the family's 1533-position model. The record is from RNAcentral.
UACGUAGGGUGCGAGCGUUAAUCGGAAUUACUGGGCGUAAAGCGUGCGCAGGCGGUUUUGUAAGCCAGAUGUGAAAUCCCCGGGCUUAACCUGGGAAUGGCAUUUGGGACUGCAAGGCUUGAGUGCGGCAGAGGAGACUAGAAUUCCUGGUGUAGCAGUGAAAUGCGUAGAUAUCAGGAGGAAUACCGAUGGCGAAGGCAGGUCUCUGGGCUGACACUGACGCUCGUGCACGAAAGCGUGGGGAGCAAACAGG